Molecule: ribosomal RNA, 432 nt
Filed under: uncultured bacterium
Lineage: Bacteria
Description: partial 16S ribosomal RNA
Rfam family: Bacterial small subunit ribosomal RNA
Source: RNAcentral
AGCGAACGCUGGCGGCAGGCCUAACACAUGCAAGUCGAACGAACUCUUCGGAGUUAGUGGCGGACGGGUGAGUAACACGUGGGAACGUGCCUUUUGGUUCGGAAUAACUCAGGGAAACUUGUGCUAAUACCGAAUGUGCCCUUCGGGGGAAAGAUUUAUCGCCAUUAGAGCGGCCCGCGUCUGAUUAGCUAGUUGGUGAGGUAACGGCUCACCAAGGCUACGAUCAGUAGCUGGUCUGAGGGGAGGGCCAGCCACACUGGGACGGGGACACGGCCCGAUUUCCGGCGGAAGGGCGCAGGGGGGAAUCAGCCACACGGGGGGGAUGCCGAACGCAUUCGGGCCGGAAAAAACAUGAGGUUGUUAAGAUUGUAAAAUUCUUUCACCGGGGCCGUUAAGACGGGACCCCGAGAAAAAGGCCCGGCUAACCUCGUG